Molecule: transfer RNA, 76 nt
Filed under: Fusarium proliferatum
Lineage: Eukaryota; Fungi; Ascomycota; Sordariomycetes; Hypocreales; Nectriaceae
Rfam family: tRNA
About the family: Transfer RNA (tRNA) molecules are approximately 80 nucleotides in length. Their secondary structure includes four short double-helical elements and three loops (D, anti-codon, and T loops).
Source: RNAcentral
GCCCCGUUGGCUCAGUGGUAAAGCGUAUCACUAGUAAUGAUAAGAUCACUGGUUGGUUCGAUUCCAGUACGGGGCA